This 494-nucleotide ribosomal RNA is filed under the name uncultured bacterium. RNAcentral's name for it is "partial 16S ribosomal RNA". It matches the Rfam family "Bacterial small subunit ribosomal RNA", at positions 28 to 507 of the family's 1533-position model. The record is from RNAcentral.
GACGAACGCUGGCGGCGCGCUUAACACAUGCAAGUCGAACGGAAAGGCCUGCUUUCCCUUGUGGAUUGCGGGUACUCGAGUGGCGAACGGGUGAGUAACACGUGAGUGAUCUGCCCCCAACUUGGGUAUAAGCCUGGGAAACUGGGUCUAAUUCCCGAUAGGACUGCAGGGUGGUGCCUGUGGUGGAAAACGAUUUUCUAGUGGUUGGGGAUGAGCUCGCGGCCUAUCAGCUUGUUGGUGGGGUAAUGGCCUACCAAGGCGGCGACGGGUAGCCGGCCUGAGAGGGUGGACGGCAACAUUGGGACUGAGAUACGGCCCAGACUCCUACGGGAGGCAGCAGUGGGGAAUAUUGCACAAUGGGCGGAAGCCUGAUGCAGCGACGCCGCGUGGGGGAUGACGGCCUUCGGGUUGUAAACUCCUUUCGACCGCGAGGAAGCCACCUGGUUGGAAGGGUGGUGACGUUAGUGGUAGAAGAAGCACCGGCUAACUACGUG